UUCCUGUAUUUUAUCUGGCAAUCCUACAGGAAAAGAACAUAAACAUGGAGAGUGGAGCUUAGUGUACUGCACCUGGGAAGGGUGAUGAUGGCAGGAUGUCUUCAAGGAGCGACUGACAGACAACUAGAAUGAUUCAGACUUGGGCAUUUGGCAGACAUUUUUUGAAAAAGGAACCAAGCGAGCCUGUCACUUCAAGGAAAACAACUGAACCACUGUUCCAACCCACCAUGGCAACCUUUCACAUCCUAACCACAGAAUUAUUUUCAGUUGGAGUGGACGUCUACAGUUGUCAUAUCCUGGGAAAAUAAGGUAUUCUCUCCAUGUUACUGAUUUGAGACCUAGGCAGGAUAAGCCGUCUGUCUGCCAUAAUUCAAGGCUUUGCGUGUAACAGGUUUUCAGAAGGAGUAGGUCUUCAGAGUCUCUUUAGUGAGUAUUAGACUGAACACGGGGAAGUUUGGGACAGUUGUUAUCGCUCCUGAUGGCUUUCCU
Long non-coding RNA from Neofelis nebulosa (Clouded leopard), 489 nucleotides. RefSeq lists it as uncharacterized. The transcript has 3 exons. NCBI's taxonomy places the organism in Eukaryota, Metazoa, Chordata, Mammalia, Carnivora, Felidae. The record is from RefSeq and is a predicted model, not a curated record.